This is a long non-coding RNA of Xenopus laevis (African clawed frog), 833 nucleotides long. RefSeq lists it as uncharacterized. The record is from RefSeq and is a predicted model, not a curated record. Lineage: Eukaryota; Metazoa; Chordata; Amphibia; Anura; Pipidae. The transcript is spliced from 3 exons.
UUUCCCCCUUUAGCUCAGUAUUUAACAUAAAUGUGUUUUUCCCACAGAACAUCACUACCGGGUCUACUAUGGCAAGAACGUCGUCCUAGAGGACUUUAUUCUUCGCUAUUACUUCGACCCCAGGACGACGCACAGAGACAACAUUUACGAGUACUGGGUGUUGAUCGAUUUUCUGGAAGUACUCGAGAGGGAGUGUAUCGCCCUCUACAGUGAGGAGUUGCUGCCUCCUGUAAGUGUCACUAUUAUUAUUAUUAUAGGAGAGGUUAUUAUUCACUGUGUGUCUCUAUAAUAAUUAUAUUAUUAACAUUGACUCUCUCCUUCCACAGGAAGCAUCAUCGGAACGCUGGAGAUGGGGGCAGCAUGUAGAGUAUCUGCGGCUGCAGAAUGUAAGUUCCCCCAUCACAUGGGAAUCCCACACCCUCACUGCCCUCAGCGUAUAAAGGUACUAUUAGCAGCACAUAUACAGACAUAAUCAUAACUGUCUCCUUUCUUUCCCCUUUGCUCCUAUCCUUGUGCCUCCCCUGCACCCGCAGACUAUCCAAUGGCACCUUCACCAGCUUGCCAUGACGCUCUGGGAGAGGGAGCAGAAGCUGCAGGAGGCUGCUGGGUAUGUAUUUUGCACUAAACACUUUCAAUUACGCUUACUGCCACUUUACAAUAAUGACAAUAAUGACAUUUAUUUCCCUCCAAACCUAGUGAGGAACAACAGGCAAGUCCUGCAGCUGAGGGAGAGGAGGAAGGAGCUCCUGCAGCAGAGGAGGAGAAGGAAGAGGAAGCUCCUGGAGUACAACAAGCUCCUGCAGCGGAGGAGGAGGAGAGAGAAGACGGAGCUC